CGGAAUGCUUUACACAUGCAAGUCGAACGGCAGCACGGGAGCUUGCUCCUGGUGGCGAGUGGCGAACGGGUGAGUAACAUAUCGGGAACGUAUCCAAUAAGUGGGGGAUAACUAAUCGAAAGGUUGGCUAAUACCGCAUACGCCCUGGAGGGGGAAAGCGGGGGAUCGCAAGACCUCGCGCGAUUGGAGCGGCCGAUAUCAGAUUAGGUAGUUGGUGAGGUAAAGGCUCACCAAGCCGACGAUCUGUAGCUGGUCUGAGAGGACGACCAGCCACACUGGGACUGAGACACGGCCCAGACUCCUACGGGAGGCAGCAGUGGGAAUUUGGACAAUGGGCGCAAGCCUGAUCCAGCAAUGCCGCGUGCAGGAUGAAGGCCUUCGGGUUGUAAACUGCUUUGUACGGAACGAAACGGUGAGCUCUAAUACAGUUUGCUAAUGACGGUACCGUAAGAAUAAGCACCGGCUAACUACGUG
This 474-nucleotide ribosomal RNA is filed under the name uncultured bacterium. RNAcentral describes it as "bacterial SSU rRNA". It matches the Rfam family "Bacterial small subunit ribosomal RNA", at positions 40 to 507 of the family's 1533-position model. The record is from RNAcentral.